GCUGAAACUCGCCUACAUGAAGCUGGAGUUACUAGUAAUCGCAGAUCAGAAUGCUGCGGUGAAUGCGUUCCCGGGUCUUGUACACACCGCCCGUCACACCACGGGAGUUGGAGACGCCCGAAGCCGACUAUCUAACCUUUUGGAAGAAGUCGUCGAAGGGGGAAUCAAUAACUGGGGUGAAGUCGUAACAAGGUAGCCGUAUCGGAAGGUGCGGCUGGAUCACCUCCUUUCUAAGGAGA
RNAcentral lists this ribosomal RNA (239 nucleotides) under Clostridioides difficile. RNAcentral describes it as "partial 16S ribosomal RNA". It matches the Rfam family "Bacterial small subunit ribosomal RNA", at positions 1304 to 1533 of the family's 1533-position model. Lineage: Bacteria; Bacillati; Bacillota; Clostridia; Peptostreptococcales; Peptostreptococcaceae. The record is from RNAcentral.